This is an RNA transcript of Physcomitrium patens, 2162 nucleotides long. It is a transcript of the gene named ornithine transcarbamylase, chloroplastic, with no coding region annotated. The record is from RefSeq and is a predicted model, not a curated record. NCBI's taxonomy places the organism in Eukaryota, Viridiplantae, Streptophyta, Bryopsida, Funariales, Funariaceae.
CGCUCUGUUCUCGGCAUGCUGUUAUUCCGAGUGUGGAAUUGUCUUCAAGCACGCAGGGGUUCCAGCACCAUGGUCAUGGCUCUGCGGUUGAGUGGUACCUUCGCAACUGCGUCGUUGAAUUCCCGUCUACAGAGCUUACCGAGCUCAAAGUCGUCCCGGCAGUGGAGCUCUAGCUCUACGUUGCCUUCAAAGCGUCAGACCAGCAAGAAGGCUGGGAGGCUUGUUGUGCGUGCCGCAGAAGGCAUUGACGUUGAUACCAAGGAGGGAAAGGGUGACAUUCUGCCAUCAGGAGAGUGGGCUGAGAACUUCUCAUUGUUAAAUUAUGAAGAUUUGUCGAAAUACUAUGAGCAUAUUCUAUUCAAACCAGAGGCACAACCGUCUACACACCUCGCAGAUAUAAUGUCCCGAACCAUCAUCACUGCAUCUCCAGAACAAUCUCUUGAGGAGGUGGAUCGAUACUUCUAUGAUAUAUCUGGCCUUCCUGUGGUCGACCAUGAGCACAAAUGCGUUGGAGUUCUUUCCAAAAAAGAUCGAUCAAAAACAUCAAAUCUGAAAACAAAGGUGAAGGAUGUCAUGACCACACCAGCAAUCACCUUACCUGCAGACAAGGUUGUCUCUGAUGCUGCGGUCUUGAUGUUGAAGAACAAGAUUCACCGCAUUCCUAUUGUAAAUGAAAAGAAUCAAGUCGUAGGUAUUGUGACAAGGACUGAUAUUUUCAGUGCUUUGGAAGGAGGCAAGCAAGAUGGUGCUAAGAUGAAAGGGCCGACGCAUUUCUUGCACCUUGACGAUUUUGACAAGGAUACAUUGCUACACAUCUUGGAUCGUGCUGUGGAAGUUAAGGCUCGGCUGAAGUCAGGGGACAAGAGUUAUCAACCUUUGAAGGGGAUGUCGAUGGCUAUGAUUUUCACUAAGCCAUCUAUGAGGACAAGAGUUUCGUUUGAAACUGGUUUUUAUCAGCUUGGAGGACAUGCCAUCUACUUAGGUCCUAACGAUAUUCAGUUGGGAAAGCGAGAAGAAACACGUGAUAUCGCUCGUGUACUCUCAGGGUACAACGAUGUCAUUAUGGCGCGUCUCUUCGGACACAAGGAUCUGCUGGAUUUGGCAGAAUAUUCUAAGAUUCCCGUCAUCAAUGGACUUACUGACUAUAACCACCCUUGCCAGAUCAUGGCUGACGUCCUAACUAUUAAUGAGUUCAUUGGCAAUAUAGAGGGUCUGAAGAUAGUGUACGUAGGCGAUGGUAACAACAUGGUCCACUCUUGGUUGCGCCUGGCAGCUGUGCUGCCUUUUCAUUUCAUAUGUGCAUGCCCACGUGGUUAUGAGCCUGAUGCUGCCACAGUAGAGAGAGCUCGCAGAGCAGGAGUAAGCAAAAUUGAAAUCAGACACGAUCCUGUAGAGGCUGUGAAGGGGGCAAAUGUCGUUUAUGCGGAUGUAUGGGCCAGCAUGGGCCAGAAGGAGGACGCAGACAACCGGAAGUCGGUUUUCCAGGGUUUCCAGGUGAACGAGGCUUUGAUGAAAGCUGCCGGACCUCAAGCCUAUUUCAUGCAUUGUCUUCCAGCUGAAAGAGGAGUGGAGAUCACUGACGGUGUUAUUGAGGGCCCCAAAUCGAUUGUAUUCCCACAAGCAGAGAAUAGGAUGCACGCUCAAAACGCCAUCAUGCUCCACUGUCUUGGUUUUUGAGUCCACUAUGGAUGGGCUUGGCGUGGACAAGUUGGAUGUUUUCAUUAUUUGAGGAUUUUCAUGUAUCCUUCUAUUUAGACUCGCAUCCCUGUUGUGAUCCUUCGAUACGAUUGCUAGUGAGACUUAUUCCGGGAGGGGGGGCAAGCUUGUGCCUUCAAGCAAAUGCUCCCCCAGAAUAAGGUGGAAUAUUCUGACGUACUUCGGAGCAUGUGUAUGACUAAUCGGAAGGACACAAACAAAUCGUUUAAAGUCUUAGCGCAUGGGUACUGGAUAUCUAUACAUGGUAGAAGUAUGCACAAUCUUCUGAGGUCGACUCUUGAGUUUGACCCGAAGGUUCUCUUGUCCAUCAUACCGUCCAUUCGAGAGUGGUUUUAGUCUUCGGCUAGAUCAAGCUCAGAGGAAUACUUUUCAUCCCCCAAGGCUGUAUAGGUCAGUCUGAAAGGUAACAUAGUGUUUUUCUGGAAAUGGAAAUUGUUUGCAUGUUU